GACGAACGCUGGCGGCGUGCCUAAUACAUGCAAGUUGAGCGCUGAAGGUUGGUACUUGUACCAACUGGAUGAGCAGCGAACGGGUGAGUAACGCGUGGGGAAUCUGCCUUUGAGCGGGGGACAACAUUUGGAAACGAAUGCUAAUACCGCAUAAAAACUUUAAACACAAGUUUUAAGUUUGAAAGAUGCAAUUGCAUCACUCAAAGAUGAUCCCGCGUUGUAUUAGCUAGUUGGUGAGGUAAAGGCUCACCAAGGCGAUGAUACAUAGCCGACCUGAGAGGGGGAUCGGCCACAUUGGGACUGAGACACGGCCCAAACUCCUACGGGAGGCAGCAGUAGGGAAUCUUCGGCAAUGGACGAAAGUCUGACCGAGCAACGCCGCGUGAGUGAAGAAGGGUGUCGGAUCGUAAAACUCGGUUGGUAGAGAAGAACGUUGGUGAGAGUGGAAAGCUCAUCAAGUGACGGUAACUACACAGAAAGGGACGGCUAACUACGUG
RNAcentral lists this ribosomal RNA (497 nucleotides) under uncultured bacterium. RNAcentral's name for it is "partial 16S ribosomal RNA". It matches the Rfam family "Bacterial small subunit ribosomal RNA", at positions 28 to 507 of the family's 1533-position model. The record is from RNAcentral.